This 482-nucleotide ribosomal RNA is filed under the name uncultured bacterium. Its description in RNAcentral is "partial 16S ribosomal RNA". It matches the Rfam family "Bacterial small subunit ribosomal RNA", at positions 30 to 507 of the family's 1533-position model. The record is from RNAcentral.
UGACCGCUGGCGGCAGGCCUAACACAUGCCAGUCGAGCGGAUGAAGGGAGCUUGCUCCUGGAUUCAGCGGCGGACGGGUGAGUAAUGCCUAGGAAUCUGCCUGGUAGUGGGGGAUAACGUCCGGAAACGGGCGCUAAUACCGCAUACGUCCUGAGGGAGAAAGUGGGGGAUCUUCGGACCUCACGCUAUCAGAUGAGCCUAGGUCGGAUUAGCUAGUUGGUGGGGUAAAGGCCUACCAAGGCGACGAUCCGUAACUGGUCUGAGAGGAUGAUCAGUCACACUGGAACUGAGACACGGUCCAGACUCCUACGGGAGGCAGCAGUGGGGAAUAUUGGACAAUGGGCGAAAGCCUGAUCCAGCCAUGCCGCGUGUGUGAAGAAGGUCUUCGGAUUGUAAAGCACUUUAAGUUGGGAGGAAGGGCAGUAAGUUAAUACCUUGCUGUUUUGACGUUACCAACAGAAUAAGCACCGGCUAACUUCGUG